Molecule: non-coding RNA, 951 nt
Filed under: Hollardia hollardi
Lineage: Eukaryota; Metazoa; Chordata; Actinopteri; Tetraodontiformes; Triacanthodidae
Description: 12S ribosomal RNA
Rfam family: Bacterial small subunit ribosomal RNA
Source: RNAcentral
CAAAGGCUUGGUCCUGACUUUACUAUCAACUUUAGCUAAACUUACACAUGCAAGUAUCCGCACCCCUGUGAGAAUGCCCUACAUUUCCCCACCCGGAAACAAGGAGCUGGUAUCAGGCACAUCCUAUUAAUUAAGCCCAAGACACCUUGCUAAGCCACACCCUCAAGGGAAUUCAGCAGUGAUAAACAUUAAGCCAUGAGCGAAAGCUCGACUUAGUUAAGGCUAAGAGGGUCGGUAAAACUCGUGCCAGCCACCGCGGUUAUACGAGAGACCCAAGUUGUUAAUUAUCGGCGUAAAGAGUGGUUAAGACGAACUAAUAAACUAAAGCCGAACACCUUCAAGGCUGUUAUACGCACCCGAAGGCAUGAAGACCAAUAACGAAAGUGGCUUUACAUUAUCUGAACCCACGAAAGCUACGGCACAAACUGGGAUUAGAUACCCCACUAUGCCUAGCCCUAAACAUUGACAGCGUACUACAUCUGCUGUCCGCCCGGGAACUACGAGCAUUAGCUUAAAACCCAAAGGACUUGGCGGUGCUUUAGAUCCACCUAGAGGAGCCUGUUCUAGAACCGAUAACCCCCGUUCAACCUCACCCUUUCUUGCUUAUCCCGCCUAUAUACCACCGUCGUCAGCUUACCCUGUGAAGGCACCAUAGUAAGCAAAAUUGGUACAACCCAAAACGUCAGGUCGAGGUGUAGCGUAUGAAAGGGGAAGAAAUGGGCUACAUUCACUAACACAGUGAAUACGGAUAAUAUACUGAAAUAUAUAUUUGAAGGAGGAUUUAGCAGUAAGCAGGAAAUAGAGUGUCCCGCUGAAAUUGGCCCUGAAGCGCGCACACACCGCCCGUCACUCUCCCCAAGCUCCUAGAUUUAAGUAACUAAAAGCCCAUAACUGCAAAGGGGAGGCAAGUCGUAACAUGGUAAGUGUACCGGAAGGUGCACUUGGAAAAAU